This 253-nucleotide ribosomal RNA is filed under the name uncultured bacterium. RNAcentral describes it as "partial 16S ribosomal RNA". It matches the Rfam family "Bacterial small subunit ribosomal RNA", at positions 524 to 776 of the family's 1533-position model. The record is from RNAcentral.
UAUGGGGGGGGCAAGCGUUGUUCGGAAUUACUGGGCGGAAAGGGCUCGUAGGCGGCCAACUAAGUCGGACGUGAAAUCCCCAGGCUCAACCUGGGAACUGCGUCCGAUACUGGAUGGCUUGAAUUCGGGAGAGGGAUGCAGAAUUCCAGGUGUAGCGGUGAAAUGCGUAGAUAUCUGGAGGAAUACCGGUGGCGAAGGCGGCAUCCUGGACCGACAUUGACGCUGAUGAGCGAAAGCCAGGGGAGCAAACGGG